UAGCUCAAUGACAGAGCAUGUGCUUAGCAUGCAUGAGGUCCUGGGUUCAAUUCCCAG
This 57-nucleotide transfer RNA is filed under the name Camelus bactrianus (Bactrian camel). It matches the Rfam family "tRNA", at positions 8 to 63 of the family's 71-position model. Rfam says of the family: Transfer RNA (tRNA) molecules are approximately 80 nucleotides in length. Their secondary structure includes four short double-helical elements and three loops (D, anti-codon, and T loops). The record is from Rfam by way of RNAcentral. RNAcentral also lists the same sequence under 2 other names. Lineage: Eukaryota; Metazoa; Chordata; Mammalia; Artiodactyla; Camelidae.